GGGGCCCACCGCACCAGUGCCAGUUGUUCACGUUGGUCCCGUCCUCCCGCUCCUCCACGAUCCAGCGCGGGUCCCCCUGGCCCCACUUGGCCAUGGCGGCGCUGACGACGACGGCCCUGGUAGCGGGAGCGCGCGGGUUUCCGGCCAGAAGUGAUCCUCUAGAGACAAAAGAUCGUGCUUGCAAGUGCCUGGGAUUGUGGAUACAGUUACAAUAAGGGUUUAUUAAUUCUUUCCAUCGUUUUUCACCUUCUAGCAAAAACUGAAGCCACCAUCUGGAAAGUGUUUCUUAGGAGAUUAUUUUAACAAAUAAAAUAGGUAGUUCAAUGGGAGAUGGGGAAGGACCUGGCUGCUCUGUGCACUUGCCAUUCAGUGGUCUGCUUAUCAGCAAAACAAGCUGAAAGGGCUAUGGUGUUUAUUGGAGCUAUUGCAUUUCGAUGUGUUCUUCGAGAAGUUACAUCAUUCAAACUGCUGAAGCAAUGCUGUGACCCCCCCCCCCAAAUCAAACGGCAUUGUUAGUUCAACUGAUCAUACCAAAGGCACAGCUGACAGAAGGCAAGACUCUAGCGAUGAUUGGCGUGUACUUUGUGUGCCUACUUUUCAUCCAGUUCUUCUGUUUGCUCCUGAUAAAACAUUUCAUGAUAAGAUUUAGAUAUGUUCAUUUGAACCUGACAGAAAAUAAGACUUCUGAGGGUAGAAGCUGCUACAAUCACUAAAAUGUAUAAAUACCAAAAUAUACAAGAACUACUCCCAGUAGAAAUAAAUUUACUGGAAUGUAACUCGAUUGUGAGUCUAGGAGACCAAUGGACCCUGAAGCACUCUUCAGAUCUGCGAUUUAAAAAUGACCUCCAAUAAGACAUUGCAAAAAUGGGAAAGAAACAAUGGAAAAAGUAAAAGAGUGGGGAAGGUGGCCCCGAAAGAAACUGUCCUAGAAAAAGUACUGGGUCAAUAGCUAGUGAACAAAACCAUGGUGUUCCCACACCCCCUGGGGGGGGCAUUUAUAGACCAUAACAAUAAUUGAGACAUUUAAGCAAUUUCAGAUGUCCAAAGUUAAUUGAAGCUUUCUUUAAUUUUCAAGAAAUGAUAAAACAAUGGAAAAAGAAAAUCCUUGCCUGGCAGUGAGUCUGAAGACAGCUGAUCAAAGGGGAAGAAGUCCAGCCACAGAUGGAAGAGAGAUGACCUGGACAGUGGGCUGCAGUGGGAAGGAAGCCAUGAUUUCAGGACAUGAAAAGUGGAGUCACACGAGGCUCACUGGGUGCUGGUGGGAGGCAGAGGGGUGUACCCUUAAACUGUAAUUGUUUGGUGUAAACAGACUGAAUUUGUGUCCUUCUCCAAAACAUGGGCUUGAUAAUUGUG
Long non-coding RNA from Mus musculus (house mouse), 1353 nucleotides. RefSeq annotates it as RIKEN cDNA 1700030C12 gene. NCBI's taxonomy places the organism in Eukaryota, Metazoa, Chordata, Mammalia, Rodentia, Muridae. The transcript has 2 exons. The record is from RefSeq and is marked validated.